Molecule: microRNA precursor, 86 nt
Filed under: Propithecus coquereli (Coquerel's sifaka)
Lineage: Eukaryota; Metazoa; Chordata; Mammalia; Primates; Indriidae
Description: microRNA 1224 (ENSPCOG00000009700.1)
Rfam family: mir-1224 microRNA precursor family
Source: Rfam by way of RNAcentral
GUGAGGACUCGGGAGGUGGAGGGUGGCGUCGUCAGGGCCUGGGCGCUGUCUCAGCUCACUUCUCCCCCCACCUCCUCUCUCCUCAG